GACGAACGCUGGCGGCGUGCCUAAUACAUGCAAGUCGAACGCAGUGGGGACGGGUGAGUAACCCGUGGGUAACCUCCCAUCAGAGGGGAUAACACUUGGAAACAGGUGCUAAACCGAUACUGAUGGAUGGACCCGCGGUGCAUUAGCUAGUUGGUGAGGUAAAGGUUCACCAAGGCCACGAUGCAUCGCCGGCCUGAGAGGGUGAUCAGCCACACUGGGACUGAGACACGGCCCAGACUCCUACGGGAGGCAGCAGUGGGGAAUCUUUGGCAAUGGGCGAAAGUCUGACGGAGCAACGCCGCGUGAGUGAAGAAGGUUUUCGGAUGGUAAAACUCUGUUGUUAGAGAAGCGGUAUCUAACCAAAAAGCCACGGCUAACUACGUGCCAGCAGCCGCGGUAAUAC
RNAcentral lists this ribosomal RNA (403 nucleotides) under uncultured bacterium. RNAcentral describes it as "partial 16S ribosomal RNA". It matches the Rfam family "Bacterial small subunit ribosomal RNA", at positions 28 to 526 of the family's 1533-position model. The record is from RNAcentral.